CGAGGAAGUAGGUGAGCUUCUCCAUCCCUGUCUGUCUAGAUGCAGAGAACCCAAAGCCCUGCAGGAUGGCAAAGCUGCAACAUGGAAGUCACCCGGAUCACCACGUAAAGGAAAUCUCUCCAACCAGGAACAAACACCUGCCUUGCAAUAUUAGGUCCUUCCUAGGGCUUGGUGCAUGUGCAUAUCUCCUUCCGGAAUCCUGGUCAAUACUAAGGUAAGAUGAAAAAACUGCGGGUUUGGGAUAAGCAGGAAAAAAGAAGCAAACUCUCUUAGUGGCGGAACUUACUGAAGUUAAGC
Molecule: long non-coding RNA, 297 nt
Filed under: Homo sapiens (human)
Lineage: Eukaryota; Metazoa; Chordata; Mammalia; Primates; Hominidae
Description: non-protein coding lnc-ADA-3:4
Source: RNAcentral